GGUAGGUUAGUCAGUGGUGAAGAUGUUGGACUGCUGAUCAGAAGGUUGUGAGUUCAAAUCCCAGCAUUGCAA
Molecule: non-coding RNA, 72 nt
Organism: Ameiurus melas (black bullhead)
Lineage: Eukaryota; Metazoa; Chordata; Actinopteri; Siluriformes; Ictaluridae
Source: the annotation of a GenBank genome assembly